Non-coding RNA from Camelina sativa (false flax), 147 nucleotides. The record is from RefSeq and is a predicted model, not a curated record. Lineage: Eukaryota; Viridiplantae; Streptophyta; Magnoliopsida; Brassicales; Brassicaceae.
GGUUACCCAAUUGGUGGUGACACAAUCUCUGUCACAAGUGGAGUUGUUUCACGUAUGGAGAUAUUGUCUUAUGUACAUGGAUCAACUGAGCUUUUGGGAUUACAGAUAGACGCAGCUAUAAAUUCUGGGAACUCUGGUGGUCCUGCA